This 408-nucleotide ribosomal RNA is filed under the name uncultured rumen bacterium. Its description in RNAcentral is "bacterial SSU rRNA". It matches the Rfam family "Bacterial small subunit ribosomal RNA", at positions 354 to 776 of the family's 1533-position model. The record is from RNAcentral.
GUGGGGAAUAUUGGGCAAUGGGCGCAAGCCUGACCCAGCAACGCCGCGUGAAGGAAGAAGGCUUUCGGGUUGUAAACUUCUUUUAUGUAGGACGAAGCAAGUGACGGUACUACAUGAAUAAGCUCCGGCUAACUACGUGCCAGCAGCCGCGGUAAUACGUAGGGAGCAAGCGUUAUCCGGAUUUACUGGGUGUAAAGGGCGUGUAGGCGGGAGUGCAAGUCAGAUGUGAAAACUAUGGGCUCAACCCAUAGCCUGCAUUUGAAACUGUACUUCUUGAGUACUGGAGAGGCAGGCGGAAUUCCGUGUGUAGCGGUGAAAUGCGUAGAUAUACGGAGGAACACCAGUGGCGAAGGCGGCCUGCUGGACAGCAACUGACGCUAAGGCGCGAAAGCGUGGGGAGCAAACAGG